RNAcentral lists this ribosomal RNA (301 nucleotides) under uncultured bacterium. Its description in RNAcentral is "partial 16S ribosomal RNA". It matches the Rfam family "Bacterial small subunit ribosomal RNA", at positions 509 to 809 of the family's 1533-position model. The record is from RNAcentral.
CAGCAGCCACGGGAAUACAGAGGGUGCGAGCGUUAAUCGGAUUUACUGGGCGUAAAGCGUGCGUAGGCGGCUAAUUGAGUCGGAUGUGAAAUCCCCGAGCUUAACUUGGGAAUUGCAUUCGAUACUGGUUAGCUAGAGUGUGGGAGAGGAUGGUAGAAUUCCAGGUGUAGCGGUGAAAUGCGUAGAGAUCUGGAGGAAUACCGAUGGCGAAGGCAGCCAUCUGGCCUAACACUGACGCUGAGGUACGAAAGCAUGGGGAGCAAACAGGAUUAGAUACCCCAGUAGUCCCUGUCUCUUAUCC